Molecule: long non-coding RNA, 1389 nt
Filed under: Pan troglodytes (chimpanzee)
Lineage: Eukaryota; Metazoa; Chordata; Mammalia; Primates; Hominidae
Description: lncRNA (ENSPTRG00000053979.1)
Source: RNAcentral
GUCUCCAUGCUACCUCAUGGGUCCCAUGUGCAAAUUCAGAGGGAGUUAGAAUGAAACCUGCAGUGGAAAUUCAGGCUCUGACGUCAGCAACCUCGUUUUGCAAAAGCUCCAGUUGGCCACCUUGGUUCCAACUGAUUUCAGCCGGCUUUUCUUGAUCUCACAAGCAGAGGGAGUUUCAGUGUUUCAGCGAGUUGGUUUUUUUCUUAUCUGCUACUCUGCAAACACAAGAAUUUCUGUUAGCUACUAGUUUCUUACUCUUUGGAGUGCCGUUUCAGUUUCAGCUUUUCACCAAGUUGUUUCUUAUCCGCUACCCUGUAAGCCCAAGAAUUUAGUCAUUGGUUUCUUUAACGGUUGGAGGAGGCAGGGUGUCAGCACCCAUCUGCCCCCAGUAGUGGGGACAAUUGACCUUAGUCUUAUGUGAAGUGCCAGUAAGAUGCAGCUUAGCCCCCUCACUCCAUAGACAAUGCACUGGACUGUCUCUGCCACAGCCCAGGACUGCGUCUUGGCAUCCCUGACCAUUUCAACCCCCAUUUUAGUGUUCUUUCCUCCUCACUGCCAGAAAGCCAUUUUAGGCAGCUUGUGGGUGUUUUUUAGAAGCGAUGUGUGUGUGAGAUGAAGGAGGCUUCCCUUUGUUUUGGCUUUAAACCUGUCUGUGUAAGUGAGAGUGAGUGGAAAGCUAUGGCUCCUCUCUCCAACACUCCCAAGGCAGGCAGCCCUGACCUCCUCAAUUGCAGAUCAGAAGGGGGCCUUUGGAAAUUAUCCAGACCAGUGAAUCUCACCAUUUUUCUCCCCUGCCACAUCAUACAUGAUGGAUGAAGUCCACAUGCUUAACAGGAUUCCAUGCAUGCACUUAUUUUGAUGGAACAGCCAAAAACAUUCUGUGAGGAAGUAAUUGUCCUCAGGAAAGGGAAUAAUGGUUGCCUCGGCAUGGGGUGGAGGCCCCUGAGUGUACUCUGCCAUGAGACCCCUUCCUUCCCACUCAGGAUGUAUUUCGAAUGCAGGAGCACCCAGGGAGCAAGAGAAGCCCUGAGACAGCAGCAAGGGACACUGUGGGGCUGCAGGAACUCUCAUCCUGGACGUUUGGCCACCUGUGAAGAAAAGAGGCGUUUGAUUUUCUGCAGAGGUCAACUCUUGUAAAAGCCUCUGUUCCUCAUCCUUCAACAGAGCAGCCACAUGUAUCAUUCCAGGCCCCAUUUAAACUCAGAAAACCUAAGUGGGCACAGGAACAAGCUCAGGCUUUAAACUGCUUGUUGCUGGUGUAAUGUGUCACUAGUGCAUCUUUGGUGUAGAUUCUAAAACAAAACUUGGGGAGCAACCCUGGUGACAGUGGUCACAGGCAGAGUCUGCUGUAUCUGUCCCCCAAACUUAUGCCUUCCUCCACACUGAGCA